RNAcentral lists this ribosomal RNA (429 nucleotides) under Gemmatimonadota bacterium. RNAcentral describes it as "Gemmatimonadetes bacterium partial 16S ribosomal RNA". It matches the Rfam family "Bacterial small subunit ribosomal RNA", at positions 355 to 776 of the family's 1533-position model. The record is from RNAcentral. Lineage: Bacteria; Pseudomonadati; Gemmatimonadota.
UAGGGAAUCUUCGGCAAUGGACGAAAGUCUGACCGAGCAACGCCGCGUGAGUGAAGAAGGUUUUCGGAUCGUAAAACUCUGUUGUUAGAGAAGAACAAGGACGUUAGUAACUGAACGUCCCCUGACGGUAUCUAACCAGAAAGCCACGGCUAACUACGUGCCAGCAGCCGCGGUAAUACGUAGGUGGCAAGCGUUGUCCGGAUUUAUUGGGCGUAAAGCGAGCGCAGGCGGUUUCUUAAGUCUGAUGUGAAAGCCCCCGGCUCAACCGGGGAGGGUCAUUGGAAGGUGGGAGACUUGAGUGCAGAAGAGGAGAGUGGAAUUCCAUGUGUAGCGGUGAAAUGCGUAGAUAUAUGGAGGAACACCAGUGGCGAAGGCGGCUCACUGGUCUGUAACUGACGCUGAGGCUCGAAAGCGUGGGGAGCAAACAGG